Non-coding RNA from Musa acuminata subsp. malaccensis (wild Malaysian banana), 640 nucleotides. Lineage: Eukaryota; Viridiplantae; Streptophyta; Magnoliopsida; Zingiberales; Musaceae. The record is from RefSeq and is a predicted model, not a curated record.
GAAGGAGAAAGUUUGGCCAGCGUUCGGGGUGCAGUACGGCUCCUUCUCUCCGGUGUUAUCCUUCCCAUGGAUGCCGUGUCAGCUGAGGGGGCCGGAGGACGGGGAACGGGAGAUGGGGAACAAGAGAGGAGGGGGCGAGAGUUUGCACCGUCUCCAGGAGUUGGCCAGGGAGCAGCAUUCGCUGGAUUCGUCGACAGAGGGGGGUUUGGGGCAGAGAGAUUAGAGAGGCUUGUUGGGCCUGCGGCCACAGGGUACACCUCAGAAUUGGAAGAUUUGUAUGGAAAGAUGCUACUUCAACUCGAAAGUUUGGCCAGCCUUGCGGAGGAGAGUUCAGCCAGAAUUCUUGAGCAGUACAUAUAGCUUGGCAACAAUUCUGUGGACAUGCUAUCCCUGGCUAUCUACAAGAGUCUGCUUUAGCUAAUAAAUCCAUGAACCAAUUGCCAGUGGCCAUUCCUCAAACUAGUUAUUUGGACUUCAAAUUUCUGCCUUCUUCCUAAUGGAUACAAUCUGUAGCAUGCAUUGUUCAUUUUCCAUGUAUAAAUGUACUUGGGAGUUUGCCUGAAAUCAUUUAUUGCUACAGAAAGUACUUAAUUGUUAUCAGCAUCCUCAGUUUAAAAUUCAUCUACAUCAUCCUUCUUUA